GACGAACGCUGGCGGCGUGCUUAACACAUGCAAGUCGAACGGAAAGGCCCUGCUUUUGUGGGGUGCUCGAGUGGCGAACGGGUGAGUAACACGUGAGUAACCUGCCCUUGACUUUGGGAUAACUUCAGGAAACUGGGGCUAAUACCGGAUAGGAGCUCCUGCUGCAUGGUGGGGGUUGGAAAGUUUCGGCGGUUGGGGAUGGACUCGCGGCUUAUCAGCUUGUUGGUGGGGUAGUGGCUUACCAAGGCUUUGACGGGUAGCCGGCCUGAGAGGGUGACCGGCCACAUUGGGACUGAGGUACGGCCCAGACUCCUACGGGAGGCAGCAGUGGGGAAUAUUGCACAAUGGGCGGAAGCCUGAUGCAGCAACGCCGCGUGCGGGAUGACGGCCGUCGGGUUGUAAACCGCUUUCGCCUGUGACGAAGCGUGGGUGACGGUAAUGGGUAAAGAAGCACCGGCUAACUACGUG
This 468-nucleotide ribosomal RNA is filed under the name uncultured bacterium. RNAcentral's name for it is "partial 16S ribosomal RNA". It matches the Rfam family "Bacterial small subunit ribosomal RNA", at positions 28 to 507 of the family's 1533-position model. The record is from RNAcentral.